This 498-nucleotide ribosomal RNA is filed under the name uncultured bacterium. RNAcentral's name for it is "partial 16S ribosomal RNA". It matches the Rfam family "Bacterial small subunit ribosomal RNA", at positions 30 to 523 of the family's 1533-position model. The record is from RNAcentral.
AUUGAACGCUGGCGGCAUGCCUUACACAUGCAAGUCGAACGGUAACAGGUCUUCGGAUGCUGACGAGUGGCGAACGGGUGAGUAAUACAUCGGAACGUGCCUAGUAGUGGGGGAUAACUACUCGAAUGAGUGGCUAAUACCGCAUGAGAUCUACGGAUGAAAGCAGGGGAUCGCAAGACCUUGUGCUACUAGAGCGGCCGAUGGCAGAUUAGGUAGUUGGUGGGAUAAAAGCUUACCAAGCCGACGAUCUAUAGCUGGUCUGAGAGGACGAUCAGCCACACUGGGACUGAGACACGGCCCAGACUCCUACGGGAGGCAGCAGUGGGGAAUUUUGGACAAUGGGCGAAAGCCUGAUCCAGCAAUGCCGCGUGCAGGAUGAAGGCCUUCGGGUUGUAAACUGCUUUUGUACGGAACGAAAAGCCCCGGGUUAAUACCCUGGGGUCAUGACGGUACCGUAAGAAUAAGCACCGGCUAACUACGUGCCAGCCGCCGCGGUAA